RNAcentral lists this transfer RNA (83 nucleotides) under Planctomycetaceae bacterium. RNAcentral's name for it is "tRNA-Leu". It matches the Rfam family "tRNA". From Rfam's summary of the family: Transfer RNA (tRNA) molecules are approximately 80 nucleotides in length. Their secondary structure includes four short double-helical elements and three loops (D, anti-codon, and T loops). Further hydrogen bonds mediate the characteristic L-shaped molecular structure. tRNAs have two regions of fundamental functional importance: the anti-codon, which is responsible for specific mRNA codon recognition, and the 3' end, to which the tRNAs corresponding amino acid is attached (by aminoacyl-tRNA synthetases). tRNAs cope with the degeneracy of the genetic code in two manners: having more than one tRNA (with a specific anti-codon) for a particular amino acid; and 'wobble' base-pairing, i.e. permitting non-standard base-pairing at the 3rd anti-codon position. Lineage: Bacteria; Pseudomonadati; Planctomycetota; Planctomycetia; Planctomycetales; Planctomycetaceae. The record is from RNAcentral.
GCGAGAGUGGCGGAAUUGGCAGACNNCGCUGGACUUAGGAUCCAGUGGGGUAACCCGUGCAGGUUCGACUCCUGUCUCUCGCA